Molecule: ribosomal RNA, 382 nt
Filed under: uncultured eukaryote
Lineage: Eukaryota
Description: partial 18S ribosomal RNA
Rfam family: Eukaryotic small subunit ribosomal RNA
Source: RNAcentral
UGUAAGCGUAUACCAAAGUUGUUGCAGUUGAAACGCUCGUAGUCGGAAUUUGGCAGUUCCGGAAGUGUGCACGUCGUGUGCGCACUUUGCGGGGACUGCUUUUGUGGUCUUGCGUAGGAUGAGGCACUUUCAUUAGUGAACGUCCUCACGCAACCACUCUUUACUGUGAGAAAAUCAGAGUGCUCAAAGCAGGCAUUUGCCGUGAAUGUAUUAGCAUGGAAUAAUAGAAUAGGACUCGGUUCUAUUUUGUUGGUUUGUUGGGACUGAGUAAUGAUUAAGAGGGACAGUUGGGGGCAUUUGUAUUCCGGCGCUAGAGGUGAAAUUCUUAGAUUGCCGGAAGACAAACUGCUGCGAAAGCGUCUGCCAAGGAUGUUUUCAUUGA